CAAUAGCGUAUAUUUAAGUUGUUGCAGUUAAAAAGCUCGUAGUUGGAUUUCGGGUGGGACGCAGCGGUCUCGCAUUGCGUUUGUACUGCUGCAGCCCUCCUUCUUGCCGGGGGCGGCCUCUCGGACUUCACUGUCUGGGGGUCAGAAUCGGCGAUGUUACUUUGAGUAAAUUAGAGUAUUCAAAGCAAGCUUACGCUCUGAAUAUAAUAGCAUGGGAUAACACGACAGGACUCUGGCCUAUCGUGUUGGUCUAUAGGACCAGAGUAAUGAUUAAGAGGGACAGUCGGGGGCAUUCGUAUUCCGUUGUCAGAGGUGAAAUUCUUGGAUUUACGGAAGACGAACAUCUGCGAAAGCAUUUGCCAAGGAUGUUUUCAUUGA
RNAcentral lists this ribosomal RNA (378 nucleotides) under uncultured eukaryote. Its description in RNAcentral is "partial 18S ribosomal RNA". It matches the Rfam family "Eukaryotic small subunit ribosomal RNA", at positions 592 to 976 of the family's 1831-position model. The record is from RNAcentral.